Molecule: transfer RNA, 68 nt
Filed under: Marmota monax (woodchuck)
Lineage: Eukaryota; Metazoa; Chordata; Mammalia; Rodentia; Sciuridae
Description: tRNA.Ala
Source: RNAcentral
GGUUUAUAGCUCAGUUGUAGAGUACUUGCCUAGCAUGUGUGAGGCACUGGGUUCAAUCCUCAGUACCA